RNAcentral lists this transfer RNA (70 nucleotides) under Salmo salar (Atlantic salmon). It matches the Rfam family "tRNA". Rfam says of the family: Transfer RNA (tRNA) molecules are approximately 80 nucleotides in length. Their secondary structure includes four short double-helical elements and three loops (D, anti-codon, and T loops). The record is from Rfam by way of RNAcentral. Lineage: Eukaryota; Metazoa; Chordata; Actinopteri; Salmoniformes; Salmonidae.
UCCUGCGUGGCUCGUUGGUAGAGCAUGGUGUUUGCAAUGCCAGGGUUGUGGUUCGAUUCCCACGGGGGAC